Molecule: long non-coding RNA, 1676 nt
Filed under: Daphnia pulex (common water flea)
Lineage: Eukaryota; Metazoa; Arthropoda; Branchiopoda; Diplostraca; Daphniidae
Description: uncharacterized LOC124194324
Source: RNAcentral
GUGUCGUAUGCUGUUGGGUGUUGUAUCGUUGAUGGCUGGGUCGACCGCUGGUGUAGUGGUGUCUCCUUGGUAUGGUGGAAACCAAACUGCAACGCCGCCGCCUUCCUACACAACUUACGCAACGACCAGUUCCUGCACCGAGGUCUUCAAGUACUACACCACUAAAGGACCGGAGUUUUAUACCACAACUUACGCUGCCCCGAGCCACUACACUGACGCCCUGAAAUAUUACUCUGCCGCUCUUCCCCGAGUUACUACACCACCAAGGCGACGGAGCAUGACUACGCAUGCUGCCCCAUCCUACUACACCGAGGCUCCCAACUGCUACACCGAGGCUCCCGCUGAUUACUCCACUGAAACGGUCGAAUACUACACCGAAGCGGCGAAGUACUACUCUGCCCCGAUCUAAACAACCACAACUGAGGCGGCCAAGUAUUACGCUGUCCCGACUUACUACACAGAAGCUGCUCUUUCGUACUACGUUGAACAGAAAUACUACACUGAUGCUCGAUGAUGCAGUUCACUACACCGCAGGCCCCAAGUACUACACCGAAGAAGCCGCCUAUUACACAACAACGUAUGCUGCCUAGUUACUACACCGAGUCUCCCGAGUACUACAUCACUUAAGGCGCCGGAAUUCUACACGUCUAUGUAUGCUGCUCCUGCCUGCUACACCGAGGCCCGGCAUUACUACAACACUGAAGCGCUCAAGUACUACACUACAACCUACGCUGCCCCGAGCUACUACACCUACGUCCCGAAGUAUUACUGUGCGUAAAAGGAGUCGUCUAAAAAAAAAAAAAGUCGCGCUCAAACUGCAAUGCCCCAUCUGUCACCAACUGCAUUCCUCAUCGUGUAACCGAUUCGCAAUUAUGGACAUCUAUGGCGUCGUGCUCCUGUUGGGUGUUGUAUCGUUGAUGGUUGGAUCGACCGCUGGUGUAGCGAUGUCUCCUUGGUAAGGCGGAAACCAAACCGCAACGCCGCCGCCUUCCUACACAACUUAGGCAACGACCAGUUCCUGCACCGAGGUCUUCAAGUACUACACCACUAAAGCACCGGAGUUUUAUACCACAACUUACUCUGCCCCGAGCCACUACACUGACGCCCUGAAGUAUUACUCUGCCCCGAGUUACUACACCACCAAGACGACGGAGCAGGACUACGCAUGCUGCCCCAUUCUACUACACCAAGGCUCCCAGCUGCUACACCAAGGCUCCCGCUCAUUACUCCACCAAAACGGUCGAAUACUACACCGAAGCGGCAAAGUACUUCUCUGCCCCGAUCAACACAACCACAACUGAGGCGGCUAAGAAAGACGCAGUUCCGACUUGCUACACCGAAGCUGCUCUUUCGUGCUACGUUGAACUGAAAUACUACACUGACGCUGCUGCCUACUUCACCACGACCCACGUUACACCUAGCUACAACACGGCAGCCCCCAAGUGCUACACCGAAGAAGCCGCAUUUUACACAACCACGUAAGCUGCCUAGUUUACUACAUCGAGGAAUUUAAGUAUUACCCUGCUCCAAACUACUACCAAACUGAGGUUCAUAUUUAUUGCAAUUCUCCCGAUUAUGCCACCACUACUCACGCUGCUCCGACCUUUACACCGAAGUUCUGAAGUAUUUCUCUGGAUGUGUUGAAAGAUUGCUGAAAUACAAGAUUGAUUGAUAAA